Molecule: long non-coding RNA, 488 nt
Filed under: Erythranthe guttata (spotted monkey flower)
Lineage: Eukaryota; Viridiplantae; Streptophyta; Magnoliopsida; Lamiales; Phrymaceae
Description: long non-coding RNA (EGUT_LNC003039)
Source: RNAcentral
GUCUUUGACGACACAAUCCAUAAUAUGGAUUGAUGCUAUGCUGCGAUGGAAGAAGAGCCGUAAAGAGAAUCCAAACCAUAUCAGCUUCCAUUGUUUGACCGCCGGAAACAAAAAUUGAAAAGAAGAGUUGUGGAAACGUGCAGAAAUUGAUAAAGCAUGUAUGAACAGAUCCACUAAUCUAACAUAACAAUGUUGCGAAAACUAAACUGAAAAAUUAGACGCAAACAAUUUGUAAAAAAAAAACAAAUAAACAUGAAAAAAGGAAAAAGAACAAAUAGGAUCUUACGUUGGUGGAAAGAAAACAUUGUGAUGUAGUUGCAAAGUAAUGCUCCACCAGUUCAUCAGGUAUCUGCAAAGCAAUGAAGAAACACAAUAAUUGAAUUUAAUCGGUAUAUUAGGAAAAAUACUUACCAUGAGAUUGAUUGCUUCUGGGUUUUCCAUUUUCUCCAUUGUUACAGAAAAAAGAGGUUACUGUGUCAUGGGAGUGG